CUCUCUCUCUCUCGUGCUUAAUAAUCUGUUGCCUUCUCACUUUGGUUUGGUGCUCUGAGGAACUGCUUUACGUGGGGUUUUGUCACCUUAAUUAAAGAGAUUUGGACACUUCAGCUUUAUUGCUUCCUCCUUGUUAUCUUCACUUAGAGCCAGCAGUUGCUCCUGUUUUGCUUGAAGGAGCAGUGCUGGUCAUAGGCAGUAUCAAAAGUAGCAGACACAGGGAAGCACUUAUAUAUGCUUAAGUUUAAGGUUAAAUCACACUGAUUUCAAGGAGCACUACCAUGAAAACCCUGUUCCAUGUCAGACUCAUAUCCUGAUUAUGAGACCUAACAGAGGUGAUGGGAGAAGCUGACCUAUCUGUUUCUAGCUGUCCUCUGAGAAUGAGCAUUACUCACAUUUGAACACGGGGUACAUCCCAAACUGACCCAGCUGUGGGUUUGGGUGCAGUGCAAAUGCCCUUUGCUAAUACUGCAGUUUGGCCUUUCCCACAGCUGGAGCUCGUUUUAAUUUAUUUCCCCGAAUUUUAACGUGCUGAAUCCCUAUUCAGCUUUGAUCGCUACAUCAAAGAUGUGAGAGAAGAUCCCAGUCAGGAGUGCUCGUUUCCAAUUCAAGCUCAGGACAAAUGAGAGGGAUUUCCAACGAAGUUAAUGACAGCAGGAACCACAGGCACCAAAGAUGCCACUGAGCCUCACGCUGCAGCGAGCUCUGAGGCUUUUCGUAUCCGCUGCAGCAGGGCGGAUGGGGAUACUUCUGUGCCUGUGUGUUUGUGCUCUUCUCCAGUUCUCUAAUUUAUUUAGCAAGCUCUGGUUUCCCUGGUUCCUCCAACCAAAGAAAUCCACCAGUUGCCCUGUGGGACCGGCACUGAUGUCAUGACUGUGGGCGCUGGGGGUUAGACUGCCUUUGCUCGGCGCUGAGAUCAUGAAAUGGUGUAAUUCCCUCCUGUGGUUGCUUGGUGUGCGCCUCUGUGCCAUCACUGGCGAAGAAUCUGGGUCCCUUCUCAGGAUAAAACCGUGUUUUAAUUGAAUUAGGCUAUGUCAGAGCAUCCCAGCCAUCUUAUCGUACCACUCCAGUCCCUCCCAAAGCAGCUAACCGAGUGAUUCCAGCUCACGCUCCCAAGGACAAGGGACAAAAAUGAUUUUCUCCCUCUUUUAUGGAGUGAAGUUUUGGUACUUCAGUUUUUCAGAGCUGAUUUUCUGCAUUCAGAAGCUGCUGACAGUGAAGAGCCAGGUGAAGAGCGGGACACAGAAAUUCACGCCAACCACAGACCCUCUUAACCUCUUUCAAUGCUUUUUGCUUCCUAGUGCUGCCAGAAUGUCACAGCUCCAGCUUAUUUCUUCCUUUCGUUUGCACCUUUUUGCAUAGAUCUGCAGUUGCAGAGCACGAUGUUUUGCUGUGCCCCUGCAAACAGCGAUCAGUUUACCCAAAGACCAUAUGACCAGUGCUCAUUUAUCUGGGAGCAGAGGGGAAGAUGAAGGUGGGCAAAGCAUCCUUGUUUGCUCGUGUCCCUUCCAACUGCUUUCAAAGCCUCUGCUGACGUUUCUGUGGUGGGAUACUGACCAGGAG
This is a long non-coding RNA of Gallus gallus (chicken), 1563 nucleotides long. The record is from Ensembl. NCBI's taxonomy places the organism in Eukaryota, Metazoa, Chordata, Aves, Galliformes, Phasianidae.